UCCUCGGUAGUAUAGUGGUCAGUAUCCCCGCCUGUCACGCGGGAGACCGGGGUUCGAUUCCCCCCCCGGGGAG
RNAcentral lists this transfer RNA (73 nucleotides) under Trichonephila clavipes. Its description in RNAcentral is "tRNA-Asp". It matches the Rfam family "tRNA". Rfam says of the family: Transfer RNA (tRNA) molecules are approximately 80 nucleotides in length. Their secondary structure includes four short double-helical elements and three loops (D, anti-codon, and T loops). Lineage: Eukaryota; Metazoa; Arthropoda; Arachnida; Araneae; Nephilidae. The record is from RNAcentral.